UACGAAGGGGGCUAGCGUUGUUCGGAAUCACUGGGCGUAAAGGGUGCGUAGGCGGGUCUUUAAGUCAGGGGUGAAAUCCCGGAGCUCAACUCCAGAACUGCCUUUGAUACUGAAGAUCUUGAGUCCGGGAGAGGUGAGUGGAACUGCGAGUGUAGAGGUGAAAUUCGUAGAUAUUCGCAAGAACACCAGUGGCGAAGGCGGCUCACUGGCCCGGUACUGACGCUGAGGCACGAAAGCGUGGGGAUCAAACAGG
RNAcentral lists this ribosomal RNA (253 nucleotides) under uncultured bacterium. RNAcentral's name for it is "partial 16S ribosomal RNA". It matches the Rfam family "Bacterial small subunit ribosomal RNA", at positions 524 to 776 of the family's 1533-position model. The record is from RNAcentral.